AUUGAACGCUGGCGGCAGGCCUAACACAUGCGAGUCGAACGGUAGCACAGAGAGCUUGCUCUUGGGUGACGAGUGGCGGACGGGUGAGUAAUGUCUGGGAAACUGCCCGAUGGAGGGGGAUAACUACUGGAAACGGUAGCUAAUACCGCAUAACGUCGCAAGACCAAAGUGGGGGACCUUCGGGCCUCACACCAUCGGAUGUGCCCAGAUGGGAUUAGCUUGUUGGUGAGGUAAUGGCUCACCAAGGCGACGAUCCCUAGCUGGUCUGAGAGGAUGACCAGCCACACUGGAACUGAGACACGGUCCAGACUCCUACGGGAGGCAGCAGUGGGGAAUAUUGCACAAUGGGCGCAAGCCUGAUGCAGCCAUGCCGCGUGUAUGAAGAAGGCCUUCGGGUUGUAAAGUACUUUCAGCGAGGAGGAAGGCAUUGUGGUUAAUAACCGCAGUGAUUGACGUUACUCGCAGAAGAAGCACCGGCUAACUCCGUGCCAGCAGCCGCGGUAA
Molecule: ribosomal RNA, 504 nt
Filed under: uncultured bacterium
Lineage: Bacteria
Description: partial 16S ribosomal RNA
Rfam family: Bacterial small subunit ribosomal RNA
Source: RNAcentral